This 73-nucleotide transfer RNA is filed under the name Diaphorina citri (Asian citrus psyllid). It matches the Rfam family "tRNA". Rfam says of the family: Transfer RNA (tRNA) molecules are approximately 80 nucleotides in length. Their secondary structure includes four short double-helical elements and three loops (D, anti-codon, and T loops). Further hydrogen bonds mediate the characteristic L-shaped molecular structure. tRNAs have two regions of fundamental functional importance: the anti-codon, which is responsible for specific mRNA codon recognition, and the 3' end, to which the tRNAs corresponding amino acid is attached (by aminoacyl-tRNA synthetases). tRNAs cope with the degeneracy of the genetic code in two manners: having more than one tRNA (with a specific anti-codon) for a particular amino acid; and 'wobble' base-pairing, i.e. permitting non-standard base-pairing at the 3rd anti-codon position. The record is from Rfam by way of RNAcentral. Lineage: Eukaryota; Metazoa; Arthropoda; Insecta; Hemiptera; Psyllidae.
GCCUAGAUAGCUUAGUUGGUAGUGCGUCUGCGUUACAAGCGCUAGGUCACGGGUUUGAUACCCGUUCGGGGCG